AGUGAACGCUGGCGGUAGGCCUAACACAUGCAAGUCGAACGGCAGCACAGUAAGAGCUUGCUCUUACGGGUGGCGAGUGGCGGACGGGUGAGGAAUACAUCGGAAUCUACUUUUUCGUGGGGGAUAACGUAGGGAAACUUACGCUAAUACCGCAUACGACCUACGGGUGAAAGCAGGGGAUCUUCGGACCUUGCGCGAUUGAAUGAGCCGAUGUCGGAUUAGCUAGUUGGCGGGGUAAAGGCCCACCAAGGCGACGAUCCGUAGCUGGUCUGAGAGGGUGAUCAGCCACACUGGAACUGAGACACGGUCCAGACUCCUACGGGAGGCAGCAGUGGGGAAUAUUGGACAAUGGGCGCAAGCCUGAUCCAGCCAUACCGCGUGGGUGAAGAAGGCCUUCGGGUUGUAAAGCCCUUUUGUUGGGAAAGAAAAGCAGCAGGUUAAUACCCCGCUGUUCUGACGGUACCCAAAGAAUAAGCCCCGGCUAACUUCGUG
Molecule: ribosomal RNA, 492 nt
Filed under: uncultured bacterium
Lineage: Bacteria
Description: partial 16S ribosomal RNA
Rfam family: Bacterial small subunit ribosomal RNA
Source: RNAcentral